Molecule: ribosomal RNA, 469 nt
Filed under: uncultured Glomus
Lineage: Eukaryota; Fungi; Glomeromycota; Glomeromycetes; Glomerales; Glomeraceae
Description: SSU rRNA
Rfam family: Eukaryotic small subunit ribosomal RNA
Source: RNAcentral
AGCAGCCGCGGUAAUUCCAGCUCCAAUAGCGUAUAUUAAAGUUGUUGCAGUUAAAAAGCUCGUAGUUGAACUUCGGGAUCAAGGAAUCGGUCAUGCCUUGGUAUGUACUGGUUUUAUUGGUUCUCACCUUCUAAAGAACCAUAAUGUCAUUCAUUUGAUGUUAUGGGGAAUUAGGACUGUUACCUUGAAAAAAUUAGAGUGUUUAAAGCAGGCUUACGCUUGAAUACAUUAGCAUGGAAUAAUGAAAUAGGACAUCCGAUUCUAUUUUGUUGGUUUCUAGGAUCGAUGUAAUGAUUAAUAGGGAUAGUUGGGGGCAUUAGUAUUCAAUUGUCAGAGGUGAAAUUCUUGGAUUUAUUGAAGACUAACUACUGCGAAAGCAUUUGCCAAGGAUGUUUUCAUUAAUCAAGAACGAAAGUUAGGGGAUCGAAGACGAUCAGAUACCGUCGUAGUCUUAACCAUAAACUAUGCC